GCGACGUUCAACCUCAAAAGAAGCAGAGGGGGCUUAGUGGUGGGGUGACUGCGUACCUUUUGUAUAAUGGGUCAGCGACUUAUAUUCUGUAGCAAGGUUAACCGAAUAGGGGAGCCGGAGGGAAACCGAGUCUUAAUUGGGCGUUAAGUUGCAGGGUAUAGACCCGAAACCCGGUGAUCUAGCCAUGGGCAGGUUGAAGGUUGGGUAACACUAACUGGAGGACCGAACCGACUAAUGUUGAAAAAUUAGCGGAUGACCUGUGGCUGGGGGUGAAAGGCCAAUCAAACCGGGAGAUAGCUGGUUCUCCCCGAAAGCUAUUUAGGUAGCGCCUCGUGAAUUCAUCUCCGGGGGUAGAGCACUGUUUCGGCUAGGGGGCCAUCCCGGCUUACCAACCCGAUGCAAACUGCGAAUACCGGAGAAUGUUAUCACGGGAGACACACGGCGGGUGCUAACGUCCGUCGUGAAGAGGGAAACAACCCAGACCGCCAGCUAAGGUCCCAAAGUCAUGGUUAAGUGGGAAACGAUGUGGGAAGGCCCAGACAGCCAGGAUGUUGGCUUAGAAGCAGCCAUCAUUUAAAGAAAGCGUAAUAGCUCACUGGUCGAGUCGGCCUGCGCGGAAGAUGUAACGGGGCUAAACCAU
Molecule: ribosomal RNA, 640 nt
Filed under: Salmonella enterica subsp. enterica serovar Nima
Lineage: Bacteria; Pseudomonadati; Pseudomonadota; Gammaproteobacteria; Enterobacterales; Enterobacteriaceae
Description: partial 23S ribosomal RNA
Rfam family: Bacterial large subunit ribosomal RNA
Source: RNAcentral